Molecule: unclassified non-coding RNA, 200 nt
Filed under: Melitaea cinxia (Glanville fritillary)
Lineage: Eukaryota; Metazoa; Arthropoda; Insecta; Lepidoptera; Nymphalidae
Description: misc RNA ENSMCXG00005003931.1
Source: RNAcentral
CAUGUUUUUGAAGUAAGAGACUUGAAAUUUAAAAUGUAUGCUCUAUAGAUGGUAACAAGGUGUCCAAAAAAUGUUUCUUAGAAAUCAACUCCCAUUUGGGGUUAAAACGGGGGAUGUUACGUUGACCCACUCAUCACGAAAUCUCCGAAACUAUAACAGUUAUAAACUUAAAAUUUGUCAGGUAGGUUUCUUAUAAGGCG